Molecule: long non-coding RNA, 665 nt
Filed under: Ananas comosus (pineapple)
Lineage: Eukaryota; Viridiplantae; Streptophyta; Magnoliopsida; Poales; Bromeliaceae
Description: long non-coding RNA (ACOM_LNC007843)
Source: RNAcentral
CGCCGCUUCCGCCCCGCCGGCAGCGGGAGCCGGCGACAUGGAGGCGGAGGAGCCGGCGAUCAAGUUGGGACUUUGGGAGAGAAAGAGGAUAACUUAAGGAAUUGGCAUAAUAAGUUAGGGGUAAAAUAGGUAUUUUAUAUAGGUUUUAACUCUAGUAUACAUUUAACUCAUGUUUAACCCGAGUUAAACUAACAGGGGAUAACUGCGGGGGUAUUUUGGAAUAACGGUGAACAUAUGAGGGGCAUUUUAGAAAGAAAAAAAAAGUAGGGAUAGAUCGGAUAUUUCCGAACGCAUGAGGGGUAUAUAGGCAAUUAUCCCUUUUAGAAAAAACUUCAAAUACUAUCCCUAUGAUUUCACACUUUCUCAUUUUAGUACCCUAUGGUUUAAAGUGUAUCAAUUUAAUAUUCCGUGUUUUUAUUUUUAUCUUUUUAUUAUCGAUUCUAUUAAUUUUUUUUCACUAAAUCAAUGACAGAGUUAAAACUAAAUGGUACUAAAUUGAAUAUUCGAUAAGCUUAGUUAGGGUAUCUAAAAUUUUUUUUUAUAAUUUAAUAAAAUAUUAAUGAAGAAGCUGACGAAAGGAUAAAAGCAAAACCACACGACACUAACUUAAUACAUUUUAAACCACAUAGUACUAAAAUAAAAAGUGCCCUAAAAUUUAGUUGAAA